Long non-coding RNA from Triticum dicoccoides, 1879 nucleotides. RefSeq lists it as uncharacterized. The transcript is spliced from 4 exons. The record is from RefSeq and is a predicted model, not a curated record. Lineage: Eukaryota; Viridiplantae; Streptophyta; Magnoliopsida; Poales; Poaceae.
AUCCAGCGUCUCUCGCUCACCUAAAAGCACACGCACGACACAUCUCCUCCCUCAGUCCCUCGAUCCAGAUCCAGAUCCAGAUCCACAUCGCCUCCGCCUAACUCUCACCGAUCCAGAUCGCCGCCGCCGCCCCUCCGCCACCCAACGCCAUCCAUCCUCCCUUCCUUUGCCGGCAUCCCUUCCUCCCAACAACCUCUUUGCCCGCGUCCAUGGCAAGGAUCCGAAGCAGGUCAGCCGGCGGCGGCCAUGGCGCAUCUCUCUUCCUCACCCCAUAGCCGGCGGCGGCCAUGGCGCAUCUCUUCCUCACCCCAUAGCCGGCGGCGGCCAUGGCACAUCUCAUCCUCACCCCAUAGCCGGCGGCGGCCAUGGCAGGUCACCAGAGACGGCCGGUGCGGGAGGGCUUCAACUCUUCUCAGGCGGGGCGGCCGUCGUCAAGGUCAGCGCCAGCGGGAAGACCCAGGCGGGAGGGCGGGGCGAGGAAGAAGCCCCCGUUCCGCCUCGCAGCGGAUGACACCAAGCCCGUGCUCCGCGAACCGAUCCCGCGUUCUGAAUCCAUGGAGACCGAGUAGGCCGUGCUGUGGCUGGCGCCCUUCCCCUGAAGUCCGGUCGCGUCCUAAUGGAUGAGUACAAGGAUUAAUCUUGCAUCUAUGCUUUUGACAGCUUGAAGUACAUCAGCGUUGAGAUGUGGCAGGUUAUUGCUAUGAAGUUCAGUGACUUGCACAUCGCUUCCUUAUGUUCUUUUUACUUCCAGAGCUACAGUGCUCUCAUACUAUCAUUGCAUUGCCUGCUGUUUUGCUGCAUACCUAUAUCUCAAGUAUUAUACUUAGUUUUGUUUAGACGGAAAACUACUGGUGUAAUACGCAAACAACAAUGGAGCUAGUGAUGCUAUGUUAACAUUAAUGUGUAUCAAUUCUAGCUUAUAUUGGUAUCUUGCGAUCCUGUUCUAAUUAAUGUAUAUAUUUCAAGCCCUUAUUUUCAUGUCUAAAUGCGUGCACCGAAGUUCAAUUACUUUAUGAGAAAGUGUUGGUGCAAUUUUCAGUUUAUUAAAUACAAAAUAGCUUGCCCCUUUCAGUUCUGGCAUCCCCACUGUGAUCUUUAUGAUGCUGUUGUUUCUCACUAAUAUAGUAUUUACUAUUAUUCAUUGAUAACUAUGUCUCAAUUUGGUUGUUGUACUGUUAUUUAUGCACAGACUGCCUACAAGUUACAUGUUGUCAGAUGUUGCUGUGUAAUACAAAAAUAUUAAUGCUCAAAUAUGAUGAUGUGGCCUGCAGCGCACCUGCUUCGACGCCGACCCGUCCGUCAUCGCCUUCAAGGAUGAUGAGGACACCGCAGGCGCCGUCGGCCUCGACGGCGGUUUCCACCGCUACCACAUUGUCGUCACCUACUAGUUCCACGACGUCGUUUGGUCCAUCGAGUCCUUCUGCAGCUGCUGUCACUGCUCCUUCCACAGUUUGGGUGGGACUCGUCAGAUCGGCCUCCUAGUUUCCCAUUUCAGGAUGACUAGUGAUGCAGCACACCAAGCAGUAGCAGGCAUACGAAGUAGCAGCAGGGGGAGGGGCUCUCUCGAACGUCGCCGCUGCCACUCAUCGCCAUUGUCAUUGAUUGAUGAUGGAUGAUCAAUGUUAGUUUAGCUCGGUUGCUGUUCGUUUAGCUCCUUGGUAGUCACUACCUCUCUUGCAAGUGUCUACUGCUGCUGGUAGAAAUAGAAAUGGUAGCUGUAGUCCCAUGUAGUUGUACUACCAUGUAGUUCCUCUACUCGUCAUGUAGUCCCUCUACUCGGACUGCCCUUUGUUGCUUCAUUUCUAUGUUAAUUUAGUCUUUGUUGAAUGUAUCUACUAUUUACUGUUGUGGUUGUUGAAGAAAUAAAAUGGUUUGGAUA